GACGAACGCUGGCGGCGUGCUUAACACAUGCAAGUCGAACGGAAAGGCCCUGCUUUUGUGGGGUGCUCGAGUGGCGAACGGGUGAGUAACACGUGAGUAACCUGCCCUUGACUUUGGGAUAACUUCAGGAAACUGGGGCUAAUACCGGAUAGGAGCUCCUGCUGCGUGGGGGGGGUUGGAAAGUUUCGGCGGUUGGGGAUGGACUCGCGGCUUAUCAGCUUGUUGGUGGGGUAGUGGCUUACCAAGGCUUUGACGGGUAGCCGGCCUGAGAGGGUGACCGGCCACAUGGGGACUGAGAUACGGCCCAGACUCCUACGGGAGGCAGCAGUGGGGAAUAUUGCACAAUGGGCGCACGCCUGAUGCAGCAACGCCGCGUGCGUGAUGACGGCCUUCGGGUUGUAAACCGCUUUCGCCUGUGACGAAGCGUGAGUGACGGUAAUGGGUAAAGAAGCACCGGCUAACUACGUG
This 468-nucleotide ribosomal RNA is filed under the name uncultured bacterium. RNAcentral's name for it is "partial 16S ribosomal RNA". It matches the Rfam family "Bacterial small subunit ribosomal RNA", at positions 28 to 507 of the family's 1533-position model. The record is from RNAcentral.